UACGGGGGGGGCAAGCGUUGUUCGGAAUUACUGGGCGUAAAGGGCUCGUAGGCGGCCAACUAAGUCAGACGUGAAAUCCCUCGGCUUAACCGGGGAACUGCGUCUGAUACUGGUUGGCUUGAAUCCGGGAGAGGGAUGUGGAAUUCCAGGUGUAGCGGUGAAAUGCGUAGAUAUCUGGAGGAACACCGGUGGCGAAGGCGGCAUCCUGGACCGGUAUUGACGCUGAGGCGCGAAAGCCAGGGGAGCAAACAGG
RNAcentral lists this ribosomal RNA (253 nucleotides) under uncultured bacterium. Its description in RNAcentral is "partial 16S ribosomal RNA". It matches the Rfam family "Bacterial small subunit ribosomal RNA", at positions 524 to 776 of the family's 1533-position model. The record is from RNAcentral.